ACCAGACUCCUACGGGAGGCAGCAGUCGGGAAUAUUGCGCAAUGGAGGAAACUCUGACGCAGUGACGCCGCGUAUAGGAAGAAGGUUUUCGGAUUGUAAACUAUUGUCGUGAGGGAAGAAAUUGACAGUACCUCAGGAGGAAGCUCCGGCUAACUAUGUGCCAGCAGCCGCGGUAAUACGUAGGGAGCAAGCGUUAUCCGGAUUUACUGGGUGUAAAGGGCGUGUAGGCGGGCAUGCAAGCCAGAAGUGAAAUCUGGGGGCUUAACCCCCAAACUGCUUUUGGAACUGCGUGUCUUGAGUGGUGGAGAGGCAGGCGGAAUUCCCAGUGUAGCGGUGAAAUGCGUAGAUAUUGGGAGGAACACCAGUGGCGAAGGCGGCCUGCUGGACAUUAACUGACGCUGAGGCGCGAAAGCGUGGGGAGCAAACAGGAUUAGAUACCCGAGUAC
RNAcentral lists this ribosomal RNA (446 nucleotides) under uncultured bacterium. RNAcentral's name for it is "bacterial SSU rRNA". It matches the Rfam family "Bacterial small subunit ribosomal RNA", at positions 330 to 793 of the family's 1533-position model. The record is from RNAcentral.